GGGCGCAAGCCUGAACGAGCGAUGCCGCGUGAGUGAAGAAGGCCUUCGGGUCGUAAAGCUCUGUUGCGGGGGAAAAAAGGCAGCAUCAGGAAAUGGGUGCUGACUGAUGGUGCCCCGCCAGAAAGUCACGGCUAACUACGUGCC
This 144-nucleotide ribosomal RNA is filed under the name uncultured bacterium. RNAcentral's name for it is "partial 16S ribosomal RNA". It matches the Rfam family "Bacterial small subunit ribosomal RNA", at positions 373 to 509 of the family's 1533-position model. The record is from RNAcentral.